AUUGAACGCUGGCGGCAGGCCUAACACAUGCAAGUCGAACGAGUGGCGGACGGGUGAGUAAUGUCUGGGAAACUGCCUGAUGGAGGGGGAUAACUACUGGAAACGGUAGCUAAUACCGCAUACCAUCAGAUGUGCCCAGAUGGGAUUAGCUAGUAGGUGGGGUAAUGGCUCACCUAGGCGACGAUCCCUAGCUGGUCUGAGAGGAUGACCAUCCACACGUGAACUGAUGCACGGUCCAGACUCCCACGCGAGGCAUAAUUGGGGAACAUUGAACAAUGUGCGCAAGCCUGAUGCAGCCAUGCCGCGUGUAUGAAGAAGGCCUUCGGGUUGUAAAGCACUUUCAGCGAGGAGGCGUUACUCGCAGAAGAAGCACCGGCUAACUCCGUGCCAGCAGCCGCGGUAAUAC
RNAcentral lists this ribosomal RNA (406 nucleotides) under uncultured bacterium. RNAcentral's name for it is "partial 16S ribosomal RNA". It matches the Rfam family "Bacterial small subunit ribosomal RNA", at positions 30 to 526 of the family's 1533-position model. The record is from RNAcentral.